This 467-nucleotide ribosomal RNA is filed under the name uncultured bacterium. RNAcentral's name for it is "partial 16S ribosomal RNA". It matches the Rfam family "Bacterial small subunit ribosomal RNA", at positions 28 to 507 of the family's 1533-position model. The record is from RNAcentral.
GACGAACGCUGGCGGCGUGCUUAACACAUGCAAGUCGAACGGAAAGGCCUCUUUCGGGGGGUACUCGAGUGGCGAACGGGUGAGUAACACGUGAGUAACCUGCCCUUGACUUUGGGAUAACUUCAGGAAACUGGGGCUAAUACCGGAUAGGAGCUCCUGCUGCAUGGUGGGGGUUGGAAAGUUUCGGCGGUUGGGGAUGGACUCGCGGCUUAUCAGCUUGUUGGUGGGGUAGUGGCUUACCAAGGCUUUGACGGGUAGCCGGCCUGAGAGGGUGACCGGCCACAUUGGGACUGAGAUACGGCCCAGACGCCGACGGGAGGCAGCAGUGGGGAAUAUUGCACAAUGGGUGGAAGCCUGAUGCAGCAACGCCGGGUGCGGGAUGACGGCCUUCGGGUUGUAAACCGCUUUCGCUCAUGACGAAGCUUUGUGUGACGGUAGUGGGUAAAGAAGCACCGGCUAACUACGUG